This 468-nucleotide ribosomal RNA is filed under the name uncultured bacterium. RNAcentral's name for it is "partial 16S ribosomal RNA". It matches the Rfam family "Bacterial small subunit ribosomal RNA", at positions 28 to 507 of the family's 1533-position model. The record is from RNAcentral.
GACGAACGCUGGCGGCGUGCUUAACACAUGCAAGUCGAACGGAAAGGCCCUGCUUUUGUGGGGUGCUCGAGUGGCGAACGGGUGAGUAACACGUGAGUAACCUGCCCUUGACUUUGGGAUAACUUCAGGAAACUGGGGCUAAUACCGGAUAGGAGCUCCUGCUGCAUGGUGGGGGUUGGAAAGUUUCGGCGGUUGGGGAUGGACUCGCGGCUUAUCAGCUUGUUGGUGGGGUAGUGGCUUACCAAGGCUUUGACGGGUAGCCGGCCUGAGAGGGUGACCGGCCACAUUGGGACUGAGAUACGGCCCAGACUCCUACGGGAAGCAGCAGUGGGGAAUAUUGCACAAUGGGCGGAAGCCUGAUGCAGCAACGCCGCGUGCGGGAUGACGGCCCUCGGGUUGUAAACCGCUUUCGCCUGUGACGAAGCGUGAGUGACGGUAAUGGGUAAAGAAGCACCGGCUAACUACGUG